GACGAACGCUGGCGGCGUGCCUAAUACAUGCAAGUAGAACGCUGAAGGAGGAGCUUGCUUCUCUGGAUGAGUUGCGAACGGGUGAGUAACGCGUAGGUAACCUGCCUGGUAGCGGGGGAUAACUAUUGGAAACGAUAGCUAAUACCGCAUAAGAGUAGAUGUUGCAUGACAUUUGCUUAAAAGGUGCAAUUGCAUCACUACCAGAUGGACCUGCGUUGUAUUAGCUAGUUGGUGAGGUAACGGCUCACCAAGGCGACGAUACAUAGCCGACCUGAGAGGGUGAUCGGCCACACUGGGACUGAGACACGGCCCAGACUCCUACGGGAGGCAGCAGUAGGGAAUCUUCGGCAAUGGACGGAAGUCUGACCGAGUAACGCCGCGUGAGUGAAGAAGGUUUUCGGAUCGUAAAGCUCUGUUGUAAGAGAAGAACGAGUGUGAGAGUGGAAAGUUCACACUGUGACGGUAUCUUACCAGAAAGGGACGGCUAACUACGUG
This 495-nucleotide ribosomal RNA is filed under the name uncultured bacterium. Its description in RNAcentral is "partial 16S ribosomal RNA". It matches the Rfam family "Bacterial small subunit ribosomal RNA", at positions 28 to 507 of the family's 1533-position model. The record is from RNAcentral.